UGCAGUCGAGCGGACAGAUGGGAGCUUGCUCCCUGAUGUUAGCGGCGGACGGGUGAGUAACACGUGGGUAACCUGCCUGUAAGACUGGGAUAACUCCGGGAAACCGGGGCUAAUACCGGAUGGUUGUUUGAACCGCAUGGUUCAAACAUAAAAGGUGGCUUCGGCUACCACUUACAGAUGGACCCGCGGCGCAUUAGCUAGUUGGUGAGGUAAUGGCUCACCAAGGCAACGAUGCGUAGCCGACCUGAGAGGGUGAUCGGCCACACUGGGACUGAGACACGGCCCAGACUCCUACGGGAGGCAGCAGUAGGGAAUCUUCCGCAAUGGACGAAAGUCUGACGGAGCAACGCCGCGUGAGUGAUGAAGGUUUUCGGAUCGUAAAGCUCUGUUGUUAGGGAAGAACAAGUACCGUUCGAAUAGGGCGGUACCUUGACGGUACCUAACCAGAAAGCCACGGCUAACUACGUGCCAGCAGCCGCGGUAAUACGUAGGUGGCAAGCGUUGUCCGGAAUUAUUGGGCGUAAAGGGCUCGCAGGCGGUUUCUUAAGUCUGAUGUGAAAGCCCCCGGCUCAACCGGGGAGGGUCAUUGGAAACUGGGGAACUUGAGUGCAGAAGAGGAGAGUGGAAUUCCACGUGUAGCGGUGAAAUGCGUAGAGAUGUGGAGGAACACCAGUGGCGAAGGCGACUCUCUGGUCUGUAACUGACGCUGAGGAGCGAAAGCGUGGGGAGCGAACAGGAUUAGAUACCCUGGUAGUCCACGCCGUAAACGAUGAGUGCUAAGUGUU
This 785-nucleotide ribosomal RNA is filed under the name Bacillus subtilis. RNAcentral describes it as "bacterial SSU rRNA". It matches the Rfam family "Bacterial small subunit ribosomal RNA", at positions 56 to 824 of the family's 1533-position model. The record is from RNAcentral. Lineage: Bacteria; Bacillati; Bacillota; Bacilli; Caryophanales; Bacillaceae.